Molecule: transfer RNA, 64 nt
Filed under: Hydraena riparia
Lineage: Eukaryota; Metazoa; Arthropoda; Insecta; Coleoptera; Hydraenidae
Description: tRNA-Leu
Source: RNAcentral
UCUAAUAUGGCAGAUUAGUGCCAUGGAUUUAAACCCCAUUCAUAAGGAAUGUCCUUUUUUAGAA